AAAGAGGUAGUAUAGUUUUUUACUGGAAGAAGCUAAAUUACAUCAUGGACGCAUUCAAAAGCGGAAAUCAUGGCUUGGACGCUCCCUGUACACUCCACACUGCGAUCCACUCCUCCGCCGGUCAUCUCCACAAUCACCUCUUGAACAGGUUUGUCGUAGUCUUUUGGAUUCACAAAUUCUGUAAUCCCAAACCUCUUAGCUGGUGGCAGGCAAAGAAAUAUGAUCAGUAUAUUAAUAUUUUUAGUGAGGAACAACGACAAAUCAUAUAAUGAUAUAAAUGAUGCUAUGAUAGGUACCUUCUUCAAAUCUUCUGGGGUUCACAUCAACAGCGAUGAUCCGAGAAGCC
RNAcentral lists this long non-coding RNA (346 nucleotides) under Gossypium barbadense (sea-island cotton). Its description in RNAcentral is "long non-coding RNA (GBAR_LNC000922)". Lineage: Eukaryota; Viridiplantae; Streptophyta; Magnoliopsida; Malvales; Malvaceae. The record is from RNAcentral.